AACGCUAGCGGCAGGCUUAAUACAUGCAAGUCGAGGGGCAUCAAGGUACACGAAAGUGUAUUGUUGGCGACCGGCGGACGGGUGAGUAAUAGGUAGGUAACCUACCUCAUACUGAGGCAUAGGCUGGGAGAAAUUCCAGGUAAUUCCUCAUGAGGUUAUAUGACACAUGUGAUAUAAUCAAAGGUAUCGCAAGGUACUGGUAUGAGAUGGGCUUACUGACCAUUAGCUAGUUGGUGAGAUAAGAGCUCACCAAGGCGAAGAUGGUUAGGGGUUUUGAGAGAGAGAUCCCCCACAUUGGAACUGAGAUACGGUCCAGACUCCUACGGGAGGCAGCAGUAGGGAAUAUUGGGCAAUGGGCGGAAGCCUGACCCAGCCAUGCCGCGUGAAGGAAGACGGCCUUAUGGGUUGUAAACUUCUUUACUAUGCGACUAACUAGAUUUACGAGAUAAUUCUAUAGAAUGUAGCAUAGCAAAAAGCACCGGCUAACUCCGUG
This 493-nucleotide ribosomal RNA is filed under the name uncultured bacterium. RNAcentral's name for it is "bacterial SSU rRNA". It matches the Rfam family "Bacterial small subunit ribosomal RNA", at positions 32 to 507 of the family's 1533-position model. The record is from RNAcentral.